UUUUUUUUUUGCUUUUUUAGGGCCACAUCUGAGACAUAUGGAGGUUCCCAGGCUAGGAGUCAAAUUAGAGCUACAGCUGCCGGCCUACACCACAGCCACAGCAAUGCGGGAUCCGAGCCUCGUCUGUGACCCACACCCCAGCUCACUACAACGCAAGAUCCCUAACCCACUGAGUGAAGCCAGGGAUCAAACCCACAACCUCAGGGUUCCUAGUCAGAUUCCUUUCUGCUGAGCCACAACGGGAACUCCUAGUAAUUGUUUCUUAUACCAAAUGUUUAUUCAUUUAUGAACUCUAAAUAUACUGUUGUGUCAUAAAUGGAUUGUACCUCUGUUUUAUUUCUGGAAUGGCCCUAUGAAUUAAAUAGAAUGUGAGGUUUGGGGUAUCAUAUUUUCCCUUUUAAUUUCUGUAGUCCUCCAGAGGGUAUGGUAUCUUGAUGCAAAGUUCUUAUAUGUGAGUAAUGCACAUGAGCCAGAUUCGUGUUCUUAUGUCAUUAAUUAGACUACAUUUCAUGAUAUGUUAUUAUGGUUCUUACUGUUUAAAUUUGAUUCGAUUCAUAGAUCUUUAAAAUAUUUAUCUCUGUGUCAGGAUUACCUUAUUAUUUUCAAGCAUGGUACAUAAAAUGAUAUUUUUGCCAGAUAAUUUUUUUUUUUAUUGGCAUAUAGUUGACUUACAAUGUUGUAUUGGUUUCAGGUGUAUGGCAGAGUGAAUCAGUCAUACAUAUAAAUACAUCCAUUUUUUCCUUUAUAAGUUAUUAUAAACUAUUGAGUAUAUUUUCCUGUGCUAUAUAGUAGGUUCUCAGUAGUCAUCUAUUUUAUAUGGUAAUGUGUAUAUGUUAUUCCCACCUUCCCAAUUCUUCCUUCCCCCCAAUAGUUUCACCUAUAGUAACCUUAAGAUUUGUUUUAAAAUCUGUGAGUUUGUUUCAGUCUUAUGUAUAAAUUCUUUUGUAUCAUUUUUAUUAGAGUCCACAUACAAGUGUUAUGCUAUUUGUCUUUCUCUAUCUGACUUACUUCACUCGGUAUGAUAAUCUCUAGGCCCAUCUAUGUUGCUGCAAAUGGCAACAUUUUAUUCCUUUUUUAUAGCUGAGUAAUAUUCCAUUGUAUAUAUGUAUCACAUCUUUAUCCAUUCCUCUGUUGAUGGACAUUAGGUUACUUCCAUGUCUUGGAUUUUGUAAAUAGUAUUGCCAUGAAUAUUGAAGUGAAUCUACCCUUUCAAAUUGUGGUUUUCUCUGGAUAGAUGCCCAAGAGCGGGAUUGAUUGCUGGAUCAUAUGGAAGUUCUAUAUUUAUUUUUUUUAAGGAAAUUUCAUACCUUUCUCAUAGUGGCUGCACCAAUUUAUAUUCCUAUUAACAGCAUAGGAGAGUUCCCUUUUCUCCAUACCCUCUCCAGUAUUUAUUGUUUGUAGACUUUUUGAUGAUGACCAUUCUGACUGGUGUGAGGUUUUGAUUUGCAUUUCUCUAAUUAUUGGUGAUGGUGAGCAUUUUUCAUGUGUUUUUUGGCUGUCUUCUAUGAAGAAAUUCCUAUUUAGAUCUUCUUCCCAUUUUUGGAUUGGGUUUACGCUGUUUUGGGUUUUUCUGUUUUGUUUUGUUUUUGAUAUAAAGCUCCAUGAGAUUUUUGUAUAUUUUGGACAUUAAUCCCUUGUCAGUCACUUCAUUUGCAAAAAGUUUUCUCUCAUUCUGUGGGUUAUCUUUUCAUUUCAUUUAUGGUUUCCUUUGCCAUGCAAAAGACUUUAAUUAUGUCUCAUUAGUUUAUUUUUGUUUUUAUUUUCAUUAUUCUAGGAGGUGGAUCAGACAAAAUACUGCUGUGAUUUAUGUCAAAGAGUGCUCUGCCUGUGAUUUUUUGAAGUGAUUAUUGAUCUUUUUACAUGUUAACAAUAUUCAAUUCAGUGAAGUGCAAUAUCCUGUGAUCAUUCUUCAAAAUAGUUGACUUAUAUUACUUUAAGUUUUGAAAAUUCUUUAUAGUUUUAGCUGUUUAUAACUUUAGGAAUUUGCUCAAUCUGCUAAAACUGUGAAGCAGAUAAAUUAUACCUCUUUUUUGGCUUUGUUCUCUAUUUUUGCUUUUCCUUUUAACCUGCAGUUGACUAAGAAAGUUACCAUCACGCCGCUUGCAUUAAUUCUUUCUACAGUUUAUUUUUUCAAGGCAUUUUGAUUCAUAACAGUGAUAUGAUGAAGGUGCCUUAGGAUCAAAGAGGAUUUCAAGGCUAUUAAACAUACCUCUGCCUCCAGAACCCCAGGUUCUGUGACAACAACCAUAAUAGGAGAUGUGGGGCAGGAAGCAAAAUCAGCACCAAAGACAGAAACUGUGCAGAUGGGCCCACUCACCUUAGGGGUACCAAGCCUGCCAAUCACGUAGAAAAUGUAGCCACCCAGAGAACAACUCAACUGCAUUUUUGCAGUUUAUAUUUUCCAGAUUGGGUACAAAAACCCAGGAAAAAGAAGUUAAGUGUGGGUUACAGAUGAGGCUUAGUUAAGAAAAGGUAUUUUCAUCAUCAAAUGUAAAUAUUUCUAACUAUUAUGUAUCAAUGACUUUUAAGAAAACUUUGUUUUAAACUGCAUUUGCCACAGUUUUCAUAUGGGAUAUAAAUGAAAAAGAUGGAGUACAUUUACAACAGUUAUUAGUUUUUCUAUAGAUGCAACUAAAUUUAUUCUGAUGAUAGUCUACAGUUUUUAAAGUUGUCUAUUGCUCUAUCAUUGGCUGGCUGAUAGAGCAAUUAUAUAUAUUUACCUAGUAAAUUAUAAACUUGAGUGAAAUUAGAGUUUGUUAUUUUACCAGUUAUCACUUAUUUACUGGUACAAUGAAACCUUUUAUUUCUACCUCCACAAAUAAAAUCUAUGUUCCAAGGAACAAUCAUUUUUUUUAAAGUUCCAUUUCAAUUCUAUUUUAAAUAGCUGCUUAAGUAAAAAAACAUAACUCUUCAAUAUGAUUAUGAUUCUGUGCUUAAACCUUCCUUAAAACUUCCUUAAACCUUCCUGAAUAAAACAAAAAUUUUUUGUACUUAUCCCUUUUAAGUGUCAUCUAGACUAUAAAAAUCAUUUUAGUCUUACAAAUGGGAUUUUUAAAAAGAAAACCCAAACUCAGGGCAUUAAAUAUCUUUCCCAUAAGGUAAUCUAACAAAAAUGAUAAAAUAAUUAAGUACUUAUAUUUUCAUUUUUUAAAGACCACUAUCAUCUUUAAGCAGUUUUAAACUGGUAUAAUAAGCUUAACUUUUUUUUUUUUGGUCUUUUUAGGGCCGCACCCGCAUCAUAUGGGGGUUUGCCAGGUCAGGGUCGAAUCAGAGCUGUAACCACUGGCCUAUGCCACAGCCACAGCAACACUGGACCCGAGCCGUGUCUGUGACCUACACCAGAGUUCACUGGCAAGACCGGAAUCUUAACCCACUGAGCGAGGCCAGGGAUAGAAUCCGCAUCCUCAUGGAUGCUAAUUGGGUCAGCUAAACGCUGAGCCUCGUCGGGAACUCCAGACUUAACUUUUUGUGUCUGCAAACAAAAGAGAACUGAGGAAGCAAAUGAUGUUUCCUUUUAGCAAUUUUUAAGGUUAUGACAUGUAGAUGCAUGUUUGUGUUAUGCAAGUGUUGCAGGAGGGAUUGCUUGUUUCAUUCAUUGUUGUUUCUUUUUUUAUAUCUUACAAGCCAUUGGGAAUAUUUUUAUUACAAGCUUCACACUCAAGAAAAUGGCUGAAGAUUUGAAGGGAGGGGCCACACGCUCUUAGCAAUCCUUGUGUCCCAUCAAUUAUUGGUAGAAAAUCACACCAAGAAGACUUGUGGGCUAUAAUCUCCAUCAGCCAUGUUCUCAAGACAGAGUGGGACUUACUGAUAUGCAGGGCUACACCUUGUUAACUGUACACAUGUUUGUUAUCUGAUUUCAGGGAUGUACACAUGAUGUUAGCAAUAUCCAGUCAUCUCCGAAUUUCGUUGUCAAAUACACCAAUAUUGAAAGAGAUCGUUUUGGUCUAGAAACUUAAUAAGAUUUUGAGUGAGUAAAUAUAGCUAAUGUACAUCUGCCUUAAAUAGAGGUAUUUUUUUAAAUCUUUCUAUUUUAUUUUCUUUACAAAAAAAUGUGAAAGUAGGUGUCAUGUAAUUGAG
RNAcentral lists this long non-coding RNA (4077 nucleotides) under Sus scrofa (pig). Its description in RNAcentral is "lncRNA (ENSSSCG00000049059.1)". The record is from RNAcentral. Lineage: Eukaryota; Metazoa; Chordata; Mammalia; Artiodactyla; Suidae.